GUCUCUCUCAGUGUCAAGUGACACGAGAGUGGCUGCUGCUGAAAAAUCUGUUCACAGAACGAGUGGAUAUUUGAAUCUCCAUUCUCUGGUUAUGUCAUACACAUUGGAAGUGACUGCGUCACGCCACACUGCUCAGGCACCCGCAUGGUCAUGUGAAGGCCCAACUACAUGAAAGGAGCAAGAGCCAUACCAUUAAGGGAACAUUUCAGUUGCCCAUCCCUCAAGGUCUGAUAUGGAACCCUCAGCAACUGUACCUGGAGGCAGAAUGCUGAGAAGACUAACAUGGCUAUUUCUCUGGAAUUUGUUGUUCAGAUGUCUUCUCUGUUCAUACAUGCUGUCAGAUUUAGUCUGAUAUUAAGAUAACAAGCAGAAAAAAAAUGAGGAGAUGAGGCAGAAAAAGCU
Molecule: non-coding RNA, 402 nt
Organism: Pogona vitticeps (central bearded dragon)
Lineage: Eukaryota; Metazoa; Chordata; Lepidosauria; Squamata; Agamidae
Source: RefSeq, a predicted model, not a curated record